RNAcentral lists this ribosomal RNA (454 nucleotides) under uncultured Leptolinea sp. RNAcentral's name for it is "bacterial SSU rRNA". It matches the Rfam family "Bacterial small subunit ribosomal RNA", at positions 917 to 1381 of the family's 1533-position model. Lineage: Bacteria; Bacillati; Chloroflexota; Anaerolineae; Anaerolineales; Anaerolineaceae. The record is from RNAcentral.
GACGGGCCCGCACAAGCAGCGGAGCGUGUGGUUUAAUUCGAUGCUACACGAAGAACCUUACCAGGGUUUGACAUGCAAGUGGUAGGAAACCGAAAGGCGACCGACCCUUCGGGGAGCUUGCACAGGUGCUGCAUGGCUGUCGUCAGCUCGUGUCGUGAGAUGUUCGGUUAAGUCCGCUAACGAGCGCAACCCUCGCUGUGUGUUACAAGUGUCACACGGUACUGCCGGUCUUAAGCCGGAGGAAGUGGGGAUGACGUCAAGUCAGCAUGGCCUUUAUGUCCUGGGCUACACACACGCUACAAUGGCCAACACAAUAGGUUGCUAAGCCGCGAGGUGGAGCCAAUCCUCAAAGUUGGUCUCAGUUCAGAUUGCAGGCUGCAACCCGCCUGCAUGAAGAUGGAGUUGCUAGUAACCGCAGGUCAGCUAUACUGCGGUGAAUACGUUCCCGGGGCUU